GACGAACGCUGGCGGCGUGCUUAACACAUGCAAGUCGAACGCUGAAGCUCAGCUUUUGUUGGGUGGAUGAGUGGCGAACGGGUGAGUAACACGUGAGUAACCUGCCCCCUUCUUUGGGAUAACGCCCGGAAACGGGUGCUAAUACUGGAUAUUCACUGGUCUUCGCAUGGGGGCUGGUGGACAGGGUAUUUCUGGUGGGGGAUGGGCUCGCGGCCUAUCAGCUUGUUGGUGGGGUGAUGGCCUACCAAGGCUUUGACGGGUAGCCGGCCUGGGAGGGUGACCGGGGACAUUGGGAAUGGGACACGGCCCAGACGGCUACGGGAGGCGGCAGUGGGGAAUAUUGCACGAUGGGCGGAUGCCUGAUGCAGGGACGGCGCGUGAGGGAUGGCGGCCUGCGGGUUGUGAACCUCUUUCGCUCAUGGUCAAGGCGCAACAAUGGUUGUGGUUAGGGUAGUGGGUAAAGAAGCGCCGGCUAACUACGUGC
RNAcentral lists this ribosomal RNA (484 nucleotides) under uncultured bacterium. RNAcentral describes it as "partial 16S ribosomal RNA". It matches the Rfam family "Bacterial small subunit ribosomal RNA", at positions 28 to 508 of the family's 1533-position model. The record is from RNAcentral.